UACGAAUUAAGAAUUCMWGGUCCYGUGAAGRUUUCGGAUAGGGGSGACGCGCGCCGUUYSGCCGCCCGCGACGUCGCGAGAAGUCCACUGAACCUUAUCAUUUAGAGGAAUGGGAAGUCGUAACAAGGUUUCCGUAGGUGAACCUGCGGAAGGAUCAU
This 158-nucleotide ribosomal RNA is filed under the name Philcoxia bahiensis. RNAcentral's name for it is "partial 18S small subunit ribosomal RNA". It matches the Rfam family "Eukaryotic small subunit ribosomal RNA". Lineage: Eukaryota; Viridiplantae; Streptophyta; Magnoliopsida; Lamiales; Plantaginaceae. The record is from RNAcentral.